This is a long non-coding RNA of Cydia pomonella (codling moth), 1858 nucleotides long. RefSeq lists it as uncharacterized. The record is from RefSeq and is a predicted model, not a curated record. NCBI's taxonomy places the organism in Eukaryota, Metazoa, Arthropoda, Insecta, Lepidoptera, Tortricidae. The transcript is spliced from 6 exons.
CCGCCCGCCCCCUCGCCGCCCGCCAGGCGCGGCCGCACCGCCGACAGGCACAGGCGAGUCAGCGGCCGGCUGGCCACGAAGGCCCUCGUGGCGAAGGCGGAGGGCGCCGGCGCCGCCGGCAGCGCCAACAGGAACCUGGAGUACGGAGCCGACGCCCCGAAGACGCCCAAAGUGAGCGCCAGCAUACUUCGGCAUAAGCGCUCGUGAAGAAGAUAACGCCGACGUAGUGGAGAUCCUGGACAAACUGCAUCCAAGCAUGAAGAAGCUAUAAGGGGACGUCUACGUGAGCGAGAUCAUCGGCCGACACCCGGAGAGGCCGAGGAAAAUCGUAGUUGCACAGGAAUACAGGAGAGGUCCGAAGCUGUACAGUGGUGCGCCUCCUCUGUAUUAUCUGAUGAUAGUGAUGAUCAAGCUUGCAUCGCAGUUGUAGAGCCGUCCAUUGCGCAAACUCCACAAUGACCAGUGGACGCUUCCUAUGUACUCUCCGCUGAUCAGUCCUGCAUCACGGUGGCAAAGACAUCUGUUGAGCAAAUGUCACCAGGUAACAAUAACUGGUCGCCUCGUCCACGAUCUGUGAUGAUCGGGACUGCAUCACUACUCCAGGGCCAUCAGAUGAUUUAACUGCAGCUAAUCCAGGUAAGCAAGAUCAUAUAAUAGAGUCAAACAAAGUUAAGUUUGUAGCGAUGUUGAUAGCACAGACUGUGCAAGUGAUAUUUAUAUGUCAAACUGUUUGAUAUUUAAAAUAACACUUGCACAAUCUAUGCUAUCAAAAUCGCUUCCAACUUAGCUCUUGAUCGGACUGUAAUAUAUACCGUGGGCCAAUUAAACCCGCCAGAUUUUAAAGGUGUAUUGUUGACUGCAUUUAGAGACUAAAAUGACACACAGUUUCCUGAAAUCGAUCUUGUUUUAUAGAGCUGUACCGCUGCCAUUAUAUGACUUGGUUUAGACAUACCUACUGACAAAUAUUAAUAACUAGCAAUUUUUUUUCUGUAACUUAAAAAAAUAUACUUAUUCGUUUAAAUGUUUUUUUUUUUUAACAAAGUGUAAAAAUAAAUAACGUGUCGUGUGAAGAAAACGCGAAAUAAAAUUGUUUUACGGUAAAUAUUUUUUUUAGCGUAUUUGGCCAAAACUCAUAAAAAUUUUUUUGCUCCUUAUGACCUUAGGAAUGGCUGGUUAAAAUCUUUCGGGUUUAAUUGGCCUACGGUGUAUAUCUUGAAAGUUUAUAUUCCAAUAACUAUUAUGUUGUAGGCGAUCAGUUUUCAUAAUAAAUGUAACUGGAAACAUACAAUCUUGUGUAACAAAAUAUUCGGCGCUUCAACCGAGAACCCUCAAAUACAAAUAAUUUAUUUAUAACGCUGUUAGAUGUCAUGGUGGUUUUCAUAUAAUUAGGUACAUAAAACCACAAACCACUAUUUUUUUUUAUAGAACGACGGAGGCAAGCAAGCAUACGGCCCGCCUGAUGGUAAGCAAUCACCGUAGCCUAUGUACGCCUGCAUCUCCAGAGGUGUUACAUGCGCGUUGCCGACCCUUUAAAAAUCUGUUCGUGUUUAAAAAUCGUUAUUCGUGGCAUAAUCUAAUAAUAACACUACUUUAAUGGAUAAUACCGCGUACUCUCUCUAACUCUGUGAUAAAACAACGCAACCUAAUUGUGUUUGGGUUUAUUCGAAUAGCGUUGGCCGCUCGACGUAUUUAGCAGAGAGUGCUAGCAUAGCUUGCCCUGUUAAUCCCUAGAAUUGUGUCAAAUUCUUGUUUUCUAAUGGAAUUUUAUGAAUUCGAUGGAUUAAGACAAAUCUCAUAGAACUAAAAGAGACUGGAAAGCUACGAGGGCGCCAUCCAUGCAAACCUUUGGAAUUUGCCG